This 253-nucleotide ribosomal RNA is filed under the name uncultured bacterium. Its description in RNAcentral is "partial 16S ribosomal RNA". It matches the Rfam family "Bacterial small subunit ribosomal RNA", at positions 524 to 776 of the family's 1533-position model. The record is from RNAcentral.
GACAGAGGGUGCGAACGUUGUUCGGAAUUACUGGGCGUAAAGCGCGUGUAGGCUGUUCGGAAAGUCGGGUGUGAAAGCCCCGGGCUCAACCUGGGAAUUGCAUUCGAGACUGCGUGGCUAGGGUGCGGAAGAGGGAAGCGGAAUUUCCGGUGUAGCGGUGAAAUGCGUAGAUAUCGGAAGGAACACCAGUGGCGAAAGCGGCUUCCUGGUCCAGCACCGACGUUCAGGCACGAAAGCGUGGGGAGCAAACAGG